Tarenaya hassleriana is the source of this 1798-nucleotide RNA transcript. RefSeq lists it as uncharacterized. The record is from RefSeq and is a predicted model, not a curated record. The transcript is spliced from 4 exons. Lineage: Eukaryota; Viridiplantae; Streptophyta; Magnoliopsida; Brassicales; Cleomaceae.
CUACAUUAUUACAUAUAUCAAUGUGGAUGCAUAUGGUUAUAACCAUAUGAUUUGUUUCCAAUCAUCAAAUGGGCCGUGUUUCAUCGUACAGUUAAUGGGCUUGGGCCUUUGGAUAACACUUAAGAUGAUGAAACGACAGCGUUUUGAAAGUGGCUGACUAUGGCUGUUUUUUGACGAUCGUCUUUUUUUUUUUUUGGUAAGGAUGACGAUCGUCUUCUUCGCUGGAAGCCUGAAACUCCUGCAGAGGAGUAAACCCUAGCAUUUCGCAUUCAGAGGGGAGUCUCCUACGCAAUGCGUUCACGUCGAUAUCCAAUCUCCGGCUGUUGGAUACGCUCUCCGGUCUUCCACCUCUUCGGUGACUGUACGAAUGCAGGAAGUGUUUUUCUACCUCCGGAAGGCUCGGCGGUCAACGGAUUUUUCAGUUAUUCGAGAACAGGUAUGUGUAGUUCCCUUCCCGGUCCUCCCAUGAUAACGUGCUGCAGUCAAUUGUGAAGAGAUGAACAUUACACAAAUUAGAGAUGGCAACAAUUUGAAGAAGCAUAAAGAUAAUUACUUAUGCAUCUUAUUACAAUUAUAUUUGCGGUGCGGGACCUUCUUUCACCCUAUUUGGGGGUAGUGGCUCAUGGUUUGCUCAGGGUGUGCUGCAUGAAAUUCCUCAGAAUGAUCUUAUUGAUGACAUAGAUAGCUUCCUGUCUUGCUGUGACUGUUAUCCAUCCUUCAUCAAGUUCUCCACGAGAGAAGCAUACAAGAAAGGAUGUUACCUUUUUGGGUUUCUUCCCUUUGUAUCUCAGCUGAAGCUGAUAUCUUUGGAUGACCAUGUUGUCAUCUAUCUUUUAAAAUGAGGGUCUAAGAAGAGCCACACUUUUUCCAUUGGAGACAGAAUCAAAGUAAGUAUUUUUUUUCCACUUUCUUUUUCUCUAGUGGGCGAUCUUUGCUUUCAGCCGAAGCAUCCUGAUAAGAUGUCUCCACAAGUUUCAUAGAUUGCAUAGUGUGUCUGAUCGAUCUAGGAAUCAUGAAAGAUGCUUUGCUUUACCCUUUUAGGAGUAAUGCUUUAUGUUCUGAUAUGCUUGUUCACUUGAGUGCAUCAAACACGUUUGCUUAUUAGGUCGUGUAGUGUUAGCAAAUCAUGUAAAAAGAUAGGGGAGGAUCAUAUCAGAUGUGAGAUGAAUUAGAUAAGACCCUCUUGGUAGAUCACCUCAAUGUAAGAGAUCGAUCUCUUCGAGUUAGAUCAUCGCACAAGACGAGAUUUGAUCUCUAUGAUCAGAUUGGUAAAGUAGUUCACAUGUUACACUGUCUGUGAAGACUUUUAUGAGGGAAUUCUUUUGGGGAUUGAGGACAUGAGAGUAUGUGAAAAAGGUGGACAAUGCAAAAGGGGACAAAUGCAUGGAGACUAGCGCGUUAGAAUGUGAGUCAUGUCUUCAUUGUCCAUCUAGUUUUAUCAUUUGUUAAAGGUCUAUAUAUAUACACACACACACACAUAUAUAUAUAUAUAUAUAUUACACUGUUCUCGAAGGGAACAAAAGCAAGACACAAAAAAUAAAGUCAAGAAGAAGCCAUGGAUGGGGGGGCCAAACCCUUUCUUUCAUCUUCGCACCAUCUUCUUCUUGUUUUCUUGCUUUUGUUUGAUCAGACACUGAAGAUCUUUUGCCUAAUAACCAAACAUGAACUUGUAAUUCUUAUCUCAUAUAUUUGGUUCAGAUGAUAGGAAUCGACAUCUCGGUUCGGUAUGAUUAUACUUUUGUGGGUUUGGUGUAUGAUUUUGUGUUUUGAAAUGGACAAAUUGCUUGUGGACAAGAUA